GAUGAACGCUGGCGGCGUGCCUAAUACAUGCAAGUCGAGCGAACAGAUAAGGAGCUUGCUCCUUUGACGUUAGCGGCGGACGGGUGAGUAACACGUGGGUAACCUACCUAUAAGACUGGAAUAACUCCGGGAAACCGGGGCUAAUGCCGGAUAACAUUUAGAACCGCAUGGUUCUAAAGUGAAAGAUGGUUUUGCUAUCACUUAUAGAUGGACCCGCGCCGUAUUAGCUAGUUGGUAAGGUAACGGCUUACCAAGGCAACGAUACGUAGCCGACCUGAGAGGGUGAUCGGCCACACUGGAACUGAGACACGGCCCAGACUCCUACGGGAGGCAGCAGUAGGGAAUCUUCCCCAAUGGGCGAAAGCCUGACGGAGCAACGCCGCGUGAGUGAUGAAGGUCUUCGGAUCGUAAAACUCUGUUAUUAGGGAAGAACAAAUGUGUAAGUAACUGUGCACGUCUUGACGGUACCUAAUCAGAAAGCCACGGCUAACUACGUG
This 497-nucleotide ribosomal RNA is filed under the name uncultured bacterium. RNAcentral's name for it is "partial 16S ribosomal RNA". It matches the Rfam family "Bacterial small subunit ribosomal RNA", at positions 28 to 507 of the family's 1533-position model. The record is from RNAcentral.